AGAAUUCAUUAAUGGAUCAAGCUGAAGCAGCUUUCUCCCAAGUAGUAUUCACUAUCUUCUAAAAAUAUUUUGAUUUAACAUAAUUCACAGUGUUUUCUGUGGUUUCCAUACAGGUACAAAAUGAAUGUCCCACAUCUAUAAGCCAGGGUACAUGCUUUCUUCUAUAUUACUUGCAAUAAAUUUUCUGAUUGAUUAUAAAAGCAGGAUAUUCUUUAGCAAUUUAAGAAUUUGUUUUGGGCUAUUUGCUAAAGGAUAACAUAAUAGAUAAAAGUAUAUUAUAAAAGUAUCUUUACAUAUGACUUCAAAUUCAGGUUAAUAAACAUCGAGUACAUUUUAUAAGAAAGGAAUGAUGUUAAAUAUGGAGAUAUAAAAGAAGUAAUACAUGGUCUUGAUACUUUCAGGAUACUAAGAUAAGUACAAAAUGAUUUUUAGUAUAACAGGAAAUAUGAUUUAUCAUAUGAAACAUAAGAAAUAUUGAGGUAUACAUUUUGAGGUAUAAUUUUGCUUCUUGUUUGGGGUAAGAUUAAUUUAUUCAUUUAAAUGGUCAAAACUUAUUAAUAUUCAUUUGUUAAUCUACCAUUCUGUCUGCAUUCUUUUGCUAGGAAAUGAGCAAAGAACAAAGCAGUCUCUGUUUUCUUGGAGCUAAUAUUCUAGUUAGGUAAUGCAAAUAAUAAACAAAAACAAAGAUCCAUACAGGAGUUCCCUGGUGGCCUCGUGUAUUAAGGAUCUAGCUUUGUCACUGCAGCAGCUUGGGUCACUGCUGUGGUGAGUUCAAUUCCUGGCCCAGGAACUUAGGCAUGAUGCAGGUAUGGCCAAAUAAACAACAAAACCAAACAUACAUAUAGUCUGUCAAGCAGUGAUAACCACGUUGAGGGAAAACAAAGCAGGCUAAAGUCAGUAGGGAGGGCUGGGCAGCAUGGCAGCUGUGCUAGUCUGUGUUGGUUUGUCAAGGAAGGCCACAUUGAACAGGAUUUGGAAUGAAGCCAGGGAGCAAGUCUUGUGGAUAUCUGGGACAAGAGUCUUUUAGGCUGAGGAAGCAGCAGAUGCCCUGGACUUGAAGUGAGAGUAUGCUCAGUGUGUUCAAAGAAUAGCAAGGAGGACUUUGAGACUGAAUGGAGUAAGAGAGGGGAGCAUGGUUGAGAUGGAGCAGGAGCUGAACCAUGAAGGGUCUUUUGUACGAUCAUAAGGACUUGACUUUUAUUUCAAGUGAUUUGGGAAGCUGAGAGAGGGUUUUGAGCAGAAGAGGGACUUGAUCUGACUCACGCAUCUUGCAGUGAUCACUGGGGCUCCUGUGUGGAGAGUAGACUGUAGCGGAGCAGAGAUGGACUCGGGAGACUAUUUAAGCAUCUUGCAAUAAUCCUGAUAAGAGAUUCUGGAGGCAGAGCAGAAGGAGAGAACUGGUUAGAUUUUGAAUAUGUUUUGAAAGGAAUGAUGAUAGGAUUUGUUGAUAAUUUGGGCAUGUUUUGUGCCUUUUAUGAGUAGUGGGGACAGCCAGACAAGGGUUCUUGAGACUAUCAUAAAUAUAUUCCAUUUAUACUCUUAAUUUGAAGAAAAAACAUGUCAGAAAGAAACAGCAGUGAAGUUUACUUGAUAUAGUCUGUAGCAAUUAUUCAUCCUAAAAGGCAGCACAAGACUGGGACAGUAUGUGUUUGGUUAGUACCUGACUUGUGUUGAAGAGCGCUGACUCCGGUCAGUGUUGUCUUAGUGCUCCUAAGCCCAGGGACCGCAUACCACCCAGGGAGCCUUCACCUGUCUCCAAAGCUACAGUAGCCACAUGGAUUUCUCUUGGCAUUUCCUUUCUUUGUAAUUGUUUCCAGUGAAAUUCCAAAUAUUUAUGAUUUGCUUAAACUGGAUAAUGAAUUCUACCCAACUUUUAUCUGAAGCCUGUCAUAGACGUGGCUGGGAUCCUGCAUUGCUAUGGCUGUGGUAUAGGCCAGCAACUGCAGCUCUGAUUCAACCCCUAGCCUGGUAACUUCCAUAUGCUGUGGGUGUGGCCCUAGAAAAGACUAAUAAUAAUGAUAGUAUUAAUAUUAAUGAGUUGAUUAGUGCGUAUGAAGAAAAAUGGUUGGAGAAACAGAUAUGUUAUUUGGAAACCAAUGACAAAAGAAAAAAGAGAGAUAUUUUUCUUCUAAAAAUAAACUAUCCUAGUUCAGAAACUUAAUUUGAAAGCCUCAUAUAAUUUCUUGUAUUUUCCCCCCAAGUGAUUAAAUUCAAUUUGAAAGUAAUAAAACUCUACUACAAUAUUGGGAAUAAUUCAGUGGGUUGAAGUGAAACUGAUAGUUAGUGCAGGAGUAUAUUGUUAAUUAGAAUACAUAGUCAUAAUUCAGAGAUUGGAAUUCCCUACUAUCAUAGGUCUAAUUUCUGUAAUGAAAGAAGCAAUUCCUCAGGCGAUAUAUAGAGUUAUGUGAGUCUGUACUACUAAAGACUAGGUUUUGGGGGUUAGAUUUUAUUUAAGGUUUUUUCGCACUUAAGUGAGGACAAUGUUGUAUUCUACUUAAAGCUCCUGUCGUUUGAUGUUCUGACAGUGUGCAUGAGGCGAUGUCCAUCUCAAAGGUAGAUGGGAACAUAGCACCAGAAUACAGAGGUAUCUACUCAGAGAAGAGGAUUUCAGAGUCACCCAAAAAAGGUGAUCAUUUCAGGAGUCGGAUUAGGUGAGCUCCCCUAGAAAGUAAGCAGAGAAAAUGAUCCCGGACAGCUAACAGGAUCAUUAGGUGGGCUCCACAUUUAAUUGGUAGGAGGAAGACAGCUAUUGAAGCAGAUCAGGUUUGUAGGAGGAGAAAAGACCAAGAAAAUCAGGAAAAUAAGAUUCUUUGGUUCUAUGAGAAUAUGAAUCUUAUUAAUUUUGAUUUUUUAAAAUUUAACUUAUUGAAGACACAUUUUUUAAUCUUUUAUAUAUUAAAGAUAUAUAUUUGAUUCCUUGAAUAUUAUCACACAAGUAUAUUAUUUCUUACUGUAGCAUAUCAACAUUUAAGAUGUUUUAAAUGUAUACUUUAUGCAUUCAACAAAUAUUUAUUACCUGUUAUGUGCCAGAUUGUAGGUAUUGUAGGUUCUGUGAGCAAAAGAGACAAAAAAGCCUGCCCACGUCUUCUGCAGUAAAGGAUAACAGAUAAUGAGUAAAAUAAAUUAGAAGUGUACAGAAUAAAUCACCAAUAUAUUGUAUGUUAGUAAUGAGAGGGAGGAAAAUAAAGGAAGAGGUAUUGUGUGUUAGCUUGGGCUGCCAUAACAGAAUACCAUAAACUGGGUAAGCUUAAACAACAGCAACUCAUUUCUUCAUAGGUUUGAAGGCUAGAAGUACAAGAUCAAGGUUCUGUCUUAAGCAACAGAAAUUCCCUUUUCUCAAUUCUGAGGGCUGGAAGUCCAAUAAUAAGGUCCUGGCUGAUUCAGUUUCUGGGGUGUCUCUUCAUGGCUGCAGACAGCUGCCUUCUCGCUGUGUCCCAUGUGGUAGAGAGUGAUUGCACUAGUGUCUCUUCCUCUCUGUUAAGGACACUAUGACAUCAUGAGGGCCCCAUCCUCAUGACCUCGUCUAAACAUAAUUACCUCCCCAAAGCCCCAUCUUUAAGUACUAUCACACUGGAAAUUAGAGCUUAGUAUAUGAAUUCGGGGAGGUCACAGUUCAUUCCAUAGCUGAUAGGUAGUGUGUGAGCAGCGGUGGUCAUGCACUGGAAUAGCUGUUUGAAAUGGGGUUGGUCCAAGAACCUUGCACUGAGAGGAUGGUAUUUGAAUAAGACUUGAAAUGAGUGAGAGAAUGAGUCACAUGGCUGUCUACGAGGAAGAGCCUUCCAGGCAGAGGGCAGAGUGAGUCCAAGUCCCUGAGGCAGGAGUGAGCCUGGUGUAGUCAAGGACCAGCAGGAAACAGGUGUAUCUGGAUGCACUAAAUGGAGGGGGCGGGUUUUGUUGCCCUGCAGAAAGAAAGGAUUUUGGCUUCUGCUUAGAUAGGGAACACCAGGGGAGGGUUUUAAGCAGAGAACUGGAAGAGAACGGGGUCUGAAUUACGUUUGAAAAGAAUGUGAUCCACGGCUCCUACAAGGCAGUGCAAUCAUGUAAUUUUGGAGUGUUUUAGUAUAGUGUAUUGUUUUGAAAAUAGAUUGGUUCCUUUUUGUUUUGUUUUGUUUCUAAAUCAAGAAAACACCCCCAAAUUAGAAAAAAGUAUAUGCUUUUCUAAAUGUGAAUUCUGAGAUAAAGUGUGUAUAAAUGCCCAAAUAUAAUCCUGUGAUCCACUAGCAUUUAAAAAGGAUAAAUAUAGGGUUAUAAUAAUACUGUUAUUUGUAGUUAAUAAUAUGAUACGUUAUAAUUUUAUUUACUUGAAAAAAAUCAGUUAAAUUUAGGAAACACAUAGCCCACAUACUUGGUUACCAUAACAACUUGGGUGAUAAAUUGAAGAACAGAUGUUAUGUCAACCUGUUGAUGUUUAAUAGUAUGACAGAUUUGAGAUUAUAGUGGUAAUUUCAGAUUUCAAAUUUAUAUGUACCAUACAUUGUCCUUGAAAGAGAUACCUCAUUGAAUUUUCUUUUUGUAAGUAUUGUUACACAAUACGAAUAGAUGUGAAUAAGAGAAAUUGUAUGAUAACCCAGGGUCGAAAUUUACUUGAAAGAUUUAUUUUACAACUGAAAGCAUUUACGCUGAAUUUUUUUUAUUAUUUUUUCCCUCACCAACUCUGUGCCAUCCUUUCCUUGGCAAAAGGGAAGGGGAUGGAGGAUAAUGGAAUAUGAAAAAAAAAAUUUAAUUUGGACUUAACUAGUUAUCUGCUGUUAUGUUAUUGUAAUUGUGAUUUUUAAUAGGAUUUAUUUUUUGAUGUUCUUAGAAUUUUUAAUGUCAGCUUUAUUUGUAAACUGUUUUUUAAUUCUUGAGUUUCAAAUUUACUACAUUUAAUUUUUAGAUAGGAGAAUCACUCCGUGGCAGACUGUAAAUGUGUUCCUUUUAAUUUCAUUUUAUUUCAAAUUCUUUGAACUUUGAGGAGGCUGGAGGUUUUCACUCAUGUGUAAAUCAUUCUUAAGCAUUUAUAAUUGGACAAAGUAAAUGCAUAAAUCAUUAAUAUUAUACAUCUUAUGAGUAGAAAAUAUGGGAGUGUUUAACAUGACGUGAAUGUAGUUGUUGCCAAUGCACACAAACAUUCACUGUUCACCUUGCAGAAUUUCAUUUUGUCUGUCAUGAGGAGUGUUGAGGAAAAGGCAAAUAUCAUAGCAGCUACCGUAAUUGAAUUGGCCUCUGAAUCCUAUAAAGCCGGGAAGCCUGACAGUAACAUUGUCUAAAACCUUAAAAAAAUAUUAUGGUGCAUAUGAUGUGUAUCUACUUGAGGCUGAAAUAAAUGGGCUGUUGGAAAAAAAAUCACUUUUGAGGGAAAGGGGAGAAAAGUAAUGAUAUUUUUAGAAAAAUGGAGGUGACUUUUUUCGCUUGAAGUGUCUUGGGUUCUAUUUUCAAAGGAAGCUUUUCAUCUAAUCACAGGCUUCUUUGUCAUUGUUUUUGUUUUCUUUUUAAAAUUUAAUUAUUAUAGUUUAUUUCUUAUGAAUAAGUAAUUGCUGUUUUACUUGAUAAUGUGGUACCUAGAAGAAUUCUGAUACAUAUCAGCAGUUUUAUAAUUACUUCAGUUGUCACUGGGCAUAAAUACAGCCAUUUCUUAAUACACGAUUCUCAUAUGUUAGGAAUGGUUGAUUAUAAAAUUUUAUUUGAAAACAUUUUCUUAUUUUAUCAUUUCAGGGGAUACUUUUUUCUGUGUCAAGAUGGCUUUAAUUUUUAAUUUUUUAUGUUUAUUUACUUAAAAUUAUCAGUUACUUAUACUUACCUUAGACCACCUCAAAAAUUAGUCAGACUCAUAUUUCCUGUUGUGGCUCUGCAGGGUAAGGACCUGACGUUGUCUCUGUGAGGAUGUGGGUUCGAUCCCUGGCUUUACUCAGUGGAUUAGGGAUCUGGUGUUGCCACAGGCUGCAUAGGUCGCAGGUGCAGUUUGGAUCUGAUAUUGUUGUAGCUGUGGCAUAGGCCUCAGCUGCAGCUCCAAUUCAACCUUGGGAACUUCCAUAUUUCCAUAUGCUGCAGGUGCAGCUUUAAAAAAAAAAAAA
This 6053-nucleotide long non-coding RNA is filed under the name Sus scrofa (pig). Its description in RNAcentral is "lncRNA (ENSSSCG00065065835.1)". The record is from RNAcentral. Lineage: Eukaryota; Metazoa; Chordata; Mammalia; Artiodactyla; Suidae.